GAUUAACGCUAGCGGCAGGCCUAAUACAUGCAAGUCGAACGGGAUUCAAAGUAGCAAUAUUUUGAUGAGAGUGGCGCACGGGUGAGUAACACGUAUGCAAUUUACCUUUAACUGGGGGAUAGCCCUCCGAAAGGAGGAUUAAUACCGCAUAAUAUAUUGAAAUGGCAUCAUUUUAAUAUUAAACCUACGGGGGUUAAAGAUGAGCAUGCAUCCGAUUAGCUAGUUGGUGUGGUAACGGCUCACCAAGGCAACGAUCGGUAGGGGGUCUGAGAGGAUGAUCCCCCACACUGGUACUGAGGCACGGACCAGACUCCUACGGGAGGCAGCAGUAAGGAAUAUUGGACAAUGGAGGCAACUCUGAUCCAGCCAUGCCGCGUGAAGGAUUAAGGCCCUAUGGGUUGUAAACUUCUUUUAGACGGGACAAAACCCCUUUACGUGUAAAGGGUUGAUGGUACUGUCAGAAUAAGCAUCGGCUAACUUCGUGCCAGCAGCCGCGGUAAAGUCUGUACU
Molecule: ribosomal RNA, 510 nt
Filed under: uncultured bacterium
Lineage: Bacteria
Description: bacterial SSU rRNA
Rfam family: Bacterial small subunit ribosomal RNA
Source: RNAcentral